This 499-nucleotide ribosomal RNA is filed under the name uncultured Actinomycetes bacterium. Its description in RNAcentral is "bacterial SSU rRNA". It matches the Rfam family "Bacterial small subunit ribosomal RNA", at positions 355 to 843 of the family's 1533-position model. Lineage: Bacteria; Bacillati; Actinomycetota; Actinomycetes. The record is from RNAcentral.
UGGGGAAUCUUGCGCAAUGCGCGAAAGCGUGACGCAGCAACGCCGCGUGGGGGAAGAAGGCCUUCGGGUUGUAAACCCCUUUCAGUUGGGACGAAGCUUCCUCGGUGAAUAGCCGUGUGGAGUGACGGUACCUUCACAAGAAGCCCCGGCUAACUACGUGCCAGCAGCCGCGGUAAUACGUAGGGGGCUAGCGUUGUCCGGAAUCAUUGGGCGUAAAGCGCGUGUAGGCGGCCCGGUAAGUCCGCUGUGAAAGUCGGGGGCUCAACCCUCGGAUGCCGGUGGAUACUGUCGGGCUAGAGUGCGGAAGAGGCGAGUGGAAUUCCUGGUGUAGCGGUGAAAUGCGCAGAUAUCAGGAGGAACACCAAUUGCGAAGGCAGCUCGCUGGGACGUGACUGACGCUGAGACGCGAAAGCGUGGGGAGCAAACGAGGAUUAGGAUACCCUGGUAGUCCACGCCGUAAACGAUGAGUGCUAAGUGUUAGAGGGUUUCCGCCCUUUAG